UAGGGAAUUUUUCACAUGAGCGAAAGCUUGAUGGAGCAAUGCCGCGUGAACGAUGAAGGUCUUUAAGAUUGUAAAGUUCUUUUAUUUGGGAAGAAUGACUUUAGCAGGUAAUGGCUAGAGUUUGACUGUACCAUUUUGAAUAAGUGACGACUAACUAUGUGCCAGCAGUCGCGGUAAUACAUAGGUCGCAAGCGUUAUCCGGAUUUAUUGGGCGUAAAGCAAGCGCAGGCGGAUUGAAAAGUCUGGUGUUAAAGGCAGCUGCUUAACAGUUGUAUGCAUUGGAAACUAUUAAUCUAGAGUGUGGUAGGGAGUUUUGGAAUUUCAUGUGGAGCGGUGAAAUGCGUAGAUAUAUGAAGGAACACCAGUGGCGAAGGCGAAAACUUAGGCCAUUACUGACGCUUAGGCUUGAAAGUGUGGGGAGCAAAUAGGAUUAGAUACCCUAGUAGUCCACACCGUAAACGAUAGAUACUAGCUGUCGGGGCGAUCCCCUCGGUAGUGAAGUUAACACAUUAAGUAUCUCGCCUGGGUAGUACAUUCGCAAGAAUG
Molecule: ribosomal RNA, 546 nt
Filed under: uncultured bacterium
Lineage: Bacteria
Description: bacterial SSU rRNA
Rfam family: Bacterial small subunit ribosomal RNA
Source: RNAcentral